AGUGAACGCUGGCGGUAGGCCUAACACAUGCAAGUCGAACGGCAGCACAGUAAGUUCUUGCUCUUACGGUUGGCGAGUGUCGGACGGGUGAGGAAUACAUCGGAAUCUACUUUUUCGUGGGUGUUUACGUAGGGUAACUUACGCUAAUACCGCAUACGACCUACGGUUGAAAGCCGUUGAUCUUCGGACCUUUCGCGAUUGCAUGAGCCGAUGUCGGAUUAGCUAGUUGGCGGGGUAAAUGCCCACGAAGGCGACGAUCCGUAGCUGGUCUGAGAGGAUGAUCAGCGACACUGGAACAGAGACACGGUCAAGACUACGACGGGAGGCAGCAGUGGGGAAUAUUGGAGAAUGGGCGAAAGCAUGAUACAGACAUACCGCGUGGGAGAAGAAGGAGGGCGGGUUGUAAAGCCAUUUUGUUGGGAAAGAAAAGAAGAAGGUUAAUAAAAAGAUGGAAUGACGGUACCCAAAGAAGAAGCACCGGCUAACUACGUG
This 492-nucleotide ribosomal RNA is filed under the name uncultured bacterium. RNAcentral describes it as "partial 16S ribosomal RNA". It matches the Rfam family "Bacterial small subunit ribosomal RNA", at positions 29 to 507 of the family's 1533-position model. The record is from RNAcentral.